GACAACUCGCGGGGAUUGUUUUCCACACCGUGGAAGCUUUGUUCUUUUCGUUUUUUGCAAUAAAUCUUGUUGCUGCUCGCUUUUUGGGUCCACAUUGCUUUUAUGAGCUGUACCACUCACCGUGAAGAUCUGCAGCUUCACUUCAGAGCCUAGCGAGACCACAAGCUCACUGAGAGGAACAAACAACUCCAGACGCGCUGUCUUAAGAGCUAUAACACUCACCGCGAAGGUGUGCAGUUUCACUCCUGAGCUAGUGAGACUACGAAGCCACUGGAACGAAGAAACUCCAACCACGUUUGAACAUCAGAAGGGGCAGACUCCAGACGCUUCAUCUUAAGAGCUGUAACACUCACUGUGAAGGUCUGCAGCUUCACUCCUGAGCCAGCGAGACCACGAACCGAUCUGAACAUCAGAAGGGACAGACUCCAGAUGCCCCACCUUAAGAGCUGUAAUACUCACUGCAAGGGUCUGCAGCUUCAUUCUUGAAGUCAGACCAAGAACCCAGCAAUUCCCAACACACAGGGACCAGCUUCUUUCCUAACUCACUUAGGCUCUUCGUGCUGCUCUGGCAACUAACACCCUUGGCUGCAGGGGCUUGGACACUACCCUUAGUCACUGACAAUUGUGUGAAGGCUGCUGUCGUUAACUUCACUUGAUCACCUUAGGCUCCUGUGAAGUGGUGAGCAAUUCAAACAAAUUCCUGUCGUCAAAUCAUAAUCCUGAUUUUGUUUGGAAGGACAGCGUGCCUGGUUCCAGGAUAUACAUCUUUCCACACCAAUAGACCUUGUUUUCCGAUGUAGCAUUAUUUUUCAUAGUUGGCGAAUAUACAGUUAUGGAUUCAUAACAGCAAGAUGGAGAAAUUGCACUGCAGAGAAAUCUUUAAAAGCAAUUACCUAAUACUGCAGAUUGCUGAACUGUACCCACACCCAAGACUGAGCAUUGGAUCAAUCCAGAAUAUACAUCAGGUGUUCUGCAAUGUCUGCCUAAAACCAUGACUCUGCCUCCUCCAGCUGUUGCUACAUCUCACUAUGGGUUUCCUGUGACAUUUUGAGCAAGUAUGCCUCUGUGACUGGGGUUCUUACACUCCAGAAUGGAUGAGAAGCACCGUAAGUGGCUUUUAAAAUGAAUAUUCCCUGGCCCUUCAGUCGCUCUAUAGGUCAAGAAUCUGAAUUCUCAACCUGUCUAGAAGGUUCUGGUUUUAAUGGUCUGUGGGCUGCACAUUGAGAAACCUGUUCAGCGAGUGCAACAAAGGUUCCACAUGUGAGAAAGGAAGCAUCAGGUCUCUUGAGCCUGUUCUUUAAUCUGUAGGCUGCACCUUCUCUUUAAAUUCUGCUAAUAACACCAUGCGAGAAAACACCCGAGCUUGAAAAGCCCAUGUUCCAACAUAACUGUCCUUCACCACUCUGGAAAAUUAAUGGUUUGUUUCGAUUAUCCCUUUGUUAAACUCCAAAGUCAAAGAGCUCUGAAAGGCAUACGGUUAUUUUAAGUUUCAGGUGAUUUCUGUUGCCAAAUAUUUUAAAAAUUUAAAAUUGCUACGUGACCUCUUAGUAGUACUAUUAGAUUUCCUGACAAUAAAAAUAAGUCUUUUGGUUUCACCAUUUAUAGUUAGUACAGCUAAUAUUAAGUAUAAUUUUAAAAGCCUUUUAUUUUCUCAGAAAGAAAAAAUAAUCAAAAUCUGCUCAGUGUGGUAUUGAAUAAUUAAAAACAAAAGAACAGUAUCUUCACAUUAGUGUUUAAUAUUAAUUGCUUUUUUACCCUUG
RNAcentral lists this long non-coding RNA (1760 nucleotides) under Homo sapiens (human). RNAcentral describes it as "HSALNT0331875". The record is from RNAcentral. Lineage: Eukaryota; Metazoa; Chordata; Mammalia; Primates; Hominidae.